AGAAAUGCCAGAAUCUCGUUUU
This 22-nucleotide non-coding RNA is filed under the name Arabidopsis thaliana (thale cress). Lineage: Eukaryota; Viridiplantae; Streptophyta; Magnoliopsida; Brassicales; Brassicaceae. The record is from RNAcentral.